Molecule: ribosomal RNA, 468 nt
Filed under: uncultured bacterium
Lineage: Bacteria
Description: partial 16S ribosomal RNA
Rfam family: Bacterial small subunit ribosomal RNA
Source: RNAcentral
GACGAACGCUGGCGGCGUGCUUAACACAUGCAAGUCGAACGGAAAGGCCCUGCUUUUGUGGGGUGCUCGAGUGGCGAACGGGUGAGUAACACGUGAGUAACCUGCCCUUGACUUUGGGAUAACUUCAGGAAACUGGGGCUAAUACCGGAUAGGAGCUCCUGCUGCAUGGUGGGGGUUGGAAAUUUUCGGCGGUUGGGGAUGGACUCGCGGCUUAUCAGCUUGUUGGUGGGGUAGUGGCUUACCAAGGCUUUGACGGGUAGCCGGCCUGAGAGGGUGACCGGCCACAAUGGGACUGAGAUACGGCCCAGACUCCUACGGGAGGCAGCAGUGGGGAGUAUUGCACAAUGGGCGGAAGCCUGAUGCAGCAACGCCGCGUGCGGGAUGACGGCCUUCGGGUUGUAAACCGCUUUCGCCUGUGACGAAGCGUGAGUGACGGUAAUGGGUAAAGAAGCACCGGCUAACUACGUG